UACAGGGGGGGCAAGCGUUGUUCGGAAUUACUGGGCGUAAAGGGCGCGUAGGCGGCCUGCUAAGUCGGAUGUGAAAUCCCUCGGCUCAACCGAGGAACUGCAUCCGAUACUGGCGGGCUUGAAUCCGGGAGAGGGAUGUGGAAUUCCAGGUGUAGCGGUGAAAUGCGUAGAUAUCUGGAGGAACACCGGUGGCGAAGGCAGGUCUCUGGGCUGACACUGACGCUCAUGCACGAAAGCGUGGGGAGCAAACAGG
RNAcentral lists this ribosomal RNA (253 nucleotides) under uncultured bacterium. RNAcentral's name for it is "partial 16S ribosomal RNA". It matches the Rfam family "Bacterial small subunit ribosomal RNA", at positions 524 to 776 of the family's 1533-position model. The record is from RNAcentral.